RNAcentral lists this unclassified non-coding RNA (244 nucleotides) under plant metagenome. Its description in RNAcentral is "partial contains small subunit ribosomal RNA, internal transcribed spacer 1, and 5.8S ribosomal RNA". The record is from RNAcentral.
UCUCCGUUGGUGAACCAGCGGAGGGAUCAUUACCGAGUUUACAACUCCCAAACCCAAUGAGAACCAUACCAAACUGUUGCCUCGGCGGGGUCACGCCCCGGGUGCGUCGCAGCCCCGGAACCAGGCGCCCGCCGGAGGGACCAACCAAACUCUUUCUGUAGUCCCCUCGCGGACGUUAUUUUUACAGCUCUGAGCAAAAAUUCAAAAUGAAUCAAAACUUUCAACAACGGAUCUCUUGGUUCUG